This is a long non-coding RNA of Spinacia oleracea (spinach), 980 nucleotides long. RefSeq lists it as uncharacterized. The transcript has 3 exons. Lineage: Eukaryota; Viridiplantae; Streptophyta; Magnoliopsida; Caryophyllales; Amaranthaceae. The record is from RefSeq and is a predicted model, not a curated record.
GGGCAUUAUUUCCUUCAAAGUUUACUUUCAGUAGUCUAAGUUUUGUUUUUGUGUAUCUAUUAACUUCACAAUAUGUUUUUAUUUUUGUAGGUUUGUUCCUGUUUUUCGAGAACGCUACUUUUUCCAAUUUGUGUUGAAUUUGAGAAACAAAAAAUAUAACACGUGGACAAUCUUGUGUAUAAUGAAGCUCAAAUCAUUGACUUUGAACUUUUUUCAACAACUCUGUGUGAUCUUCAAGGUAGUUUCCUUGAUGAGAAAGGCCAUAAUCAUGAAGGUGAUAUUGGAACGUACGCCAUGGAGGAGGUUGAGUUUGAUUGGAAGAAUCCCAAAGGGUCCGACCUUGAUUGUGGAAUUUAUAUGAUGCUAAGUAUGUUGACAUUUGAAGGAAUCAAAUGUAGCUGUCCUGAUUUGAAAGAUCCCCGUAAAAGGAUUGUUAUGCGUGCUAAGUGCUAUCAGACAUGAAUGACAAACGGCUAGAAGUUCUCAAGCAUGUUGCUGAUUUCAAUCCCAAAUGAGCAGUUGUCCUUCCGGGUGUGUUGGUGAGGAGGAAGAAAAAAUUGGCAGAGGAGAAGAAAGCUGAAAAGUUGAAGAAAGAAGCUGCUAAAAAGGAGAAGGAACUUGAGAAGAACGCCAAUGAGAAUGAGCAACCAGAGAAGAAUGACAAAGAGAAAGAGCAACUGGAGAAGACUGACAAUGAGGCAGAGGGCGACAAAGUACCGUUGAAGACUUUUAUUUCAAGAAAACAUUUGAAAAGGAAUUUAAAUGAUCUAUCUGACCCACAAAAUGACGAACCUCCUUUGAAGAAGCUUGCUCUGGUCAAACGGACGGCAAAGAAACCUACAGCUUGAAAAUUUAAUAUUAGUUUACCUAACUUUUAUUACAUAAAGGUUAACUUUAAGUACAAUAAUCUCAACUUUUACAUUUUUACAAAAAUACUUCACUAUAUUUUAAUCCCUUUUUUGUGUAUCUAUGGGAUAUAA